Molecule: ribosomal RNA, 497 nt
Filed under: uncultured bacterium
Lineage: Bacteria
Description: partial 16S ribosomal RNA
Rfam family: Bacterial small subunit ribosomal RNA
Source: RNAcentral
GACGAACGCUGGCGGCGUGCCUAAUACAUGCAAGUUGAGCGCUGAAGGUUGGUACUUGUCCCGACUGGAUGAGCAGCGAACGGGUGAGUAACGCCUGGGGAAUCUGCCUUUGAGCGGGGGACAACAUUUGGAAACGAAUGCUAAUACCGCAUAAAAACUUUAAACACAAGUUUUAAGUUUGAAAGAUGCAAUUGCAUCACUCAAGGAUGAUCCCGCGUUGUAUUAGCUAGUUGGUGAGGUAAAGGCUCACCAAGGCGAUGAUACAUAGCCGACCUGAGAGGGUGAUCGGCCACAUUGGGACUGAGACACGGCCCAAACUCCUACGGGAGGCAGCAGUAGGGAAUCUUCGGCAAUGGACGAAAGUCUGACCGAGCAACGCCGCGUGAGUGAAGAAGGUUUUCGGAUCGUAAAACUCUGUUGGUAGAGAAGAACGUUGGUGAGAGUGGAAAGCUCAUCAAGUGACGGUAACUACCCAGAAAGGGACGGCUAACUACGUG